RNAcentral lists this unclassified non-coding RNA (299 nucleotides) under uncultured fungus. RNAcentral's name for it is "partial contains small subunit ribosomal RNA, internal transcribed spacer 1, and 5.8S ribosomal RNA". The stretch from base 1 to 73 matches the Rfam family "Eukaryotic small subunit ribosomal RNA", at positions 1759 to 1831 of the family's 1831-position model. Lineage: Eukaryota; Fungi. The record is from RNAcentral.
UCAAACUUGGUCAUUUAGAGGAAGUAAAAGUCGUAACAAGGUUUCCGUAGGUGAACCUGCGGAAGGAUCAUUACUGAGUGAGGGCCCCUCGGGGUCCAACCUCCCACCCGUGUUUAACGAACCUUUGUUGCUUCGGCGGGCCCGCCUCACGGCCGCCGGGGGGCUCCUGCCCCCGGGCCCGCGCCCGCCGAAGCCCCCCCCCUGAACGCUGUCUGAAGUUGCAGUCUGAGAAACUAGCUAAAUUAGUUAAAACUUUCAACAACGGAUCUCUUGGUUCCGGCAUCGAUGAAGAACGCAGC